GAUAAAUAUGGCGGACUAUAGUCGACGGAUGUUCUCGCGUUUGACAUGAUUCCAGAAUAGCUAUAGUAUUCGUGAUCUGUAAAAGAUUAACAACAAUCGAAUGAAGUAUAGAUAUAAAUGUUGACGAUUGAAAUGUAAGAAAAUCAGUCAUCGAAGUAAAGAUGAUAUAGCGUAGAAAAUAUAGAGUUGGAAUCAGGUCGACGAGAUCUAAUUGAUGGAUUAGACAGGGCUAACUUUCAAUUCGUAUUCCGUUCGCGUGCCUAUACCAGCACGUCCAAUUCGAUGUUAUUAAUUCGUAUGCUGAGGACGAGUUAACGAGUAAAGGCAAUUUAUUCUUCGUCGAUGAAUCACGUCGAAUAGUCGCAUACGUGCUUGUUUAUGUCGAAUUUGCAUCGUCGCACUUGAUUAUUAAUUUUUUUAAGUAACUUAAUGUAUAAUAUAUCGGCAUGCAACGAGCUAGUAAGCAGGGCAAACGAUCGACCGGAUAAGGCAAUGAUUGGCGUUGCAACGGAUCACCAUGAUAGUAGCUGACGUCGGGAAUAAAAUAUACGAAGCCAUGUCUUUUUUGUCAUCAUUACGUAUAUCUUACAACCGUCAACAUCUUGUUUUAAGAUAAAAAUACGCGAACGUUGGAUCGCAAGCAAGAAGAAACAUUCUUUUCCGGAUUUUUUUUCUACAUAGAAGAGAAGAGAAUUCGUUAGCGAGCACAUCGAGGAAUGUGCACGGCGUAUAAGUGAAAACCCAUGACGUGCGCACGCGCUUCUAUCGGCAACUAUAAUAAUUUUCUCAGCGUGAUUCACGAUUUAACUUGUUGACCGUUAAUAGUCGAAGGAAGUAAUAGAGAAUCGUUCUGAAUAUGAUGACGUUAACACGUCAAUGUUUUACGUGCAACAUAUUAUUAAAUAUUACACACAAUAUGAUAAUCCAAUGACUAUUAAUACUAGAGACAAAUUUGUUGAAUAAUAUUUAAGAACUUAUUUUUAUAUAGUUUCGGAGAUUUCUUUUCACGAAUUGACCAACCUUUCUGGUUUUAUUUUUCAUAGACUAACUGUAAUGUUUUCUACUCUCUUUAGGUUCUAACAGGAAGAUAGAAUAAGAAUAAGAAGGAAUUUUGACACGUAUACCUGACCUUGAGCUAUCGAGAACGAGAGAGAGAGAGAAAGAGAGAAGAUGUCUGCAACGUCUUUGUCUCGGUGCUAAUGGAAAUUACAUACCGCAACGAUAUUUCCCUUGCAAAUACGAAGAUUAGUCGAUACUUGUCAAGGACGAGUACUGGAAAUCAUUCUCGCGAUUAUGAACAUUCCAUUUGGUAAAUUAUUCCAAGUCAUUCGGACAACGACACGAUCUUUAUUGUUACGUAUACGAUUGCGCUAUUAACCGUUUUGAUCUACAAUUGGAAUAAUGAAUUAAUAACGAACAACGAUAGCUUGGCAAGGAAAUGAACGAUUUGAAAAAUCCCGCGCUUCGUUUUACCUUGGAGUAACUCGAACGAUAAAAUUAAGUGACAAAACUGAAACGAAUCGUAUCUUGUUCUUUUUUUUCUGGAAAAGAUAAAAAAAAUGUUAAAGAAAGAAGUAAGCAGAAAAUGAACGUCCUCGGGGAAUACCUUCUUUUCACAUAUUCGGUAUUCGCAACGACCUCGUUCUAUAUACUUUUAAGGAAGUUUCAUUGGCGAGAGUGUCCUUUGGAUUAAUUUAUGCACGACUUUAAACAUACAUCGAUUCACGAGGAAAUACAUAACUACAACAACAAAAAUAGAAAGACAUGAACAUCUCCAUACCUUGUAAUCAUUGUAAAAUCUUUAAGGAUCUUGUUAUUCCAAGAAAAAGAAUAAGAAAAUAGAAGGAAAGACAGAGUUCGUGAUUCGCACGAAUGAUUCUUCCCCGUGUCUGGGAGAGAAACGUUGACGGCAUAAAGAAUCGAUUCUUCGGAGUCCAGCGACCCUUUUGCUUCGUCUGCGAAUUGAAAACGUCGUUGACCAUUGAAUGCGUCUGGGAUGCAUCUGUAUAUGCAUUGUAUCUGUGUAUAUUGAUGAGAUGUACAGGGUGUCCCAUUCAACAUCCCAAAAUUAUUGAUGAACUAACAGUCUUUUUCUUUUUAUUAACAGGUAACGAUAUUCGAGUAAUGCAUUUCGUUACUAAUAAUCAUAAAGAAGAGAGAAAAAGAGAGUGAGCGAAAUAAUGAAGUUAAGAGAAGAUAAGAUAAGAAGAAGAAGAUAGUAUCGUAUGGAAUUUACAAGUCGUGUCCACUUCAAGGUUUCUCGAGAUCCUGAACGAAGUCGAGAUGAGCGUAGGUCGUCGCCGAAGAAACGAAAUAAAAAUUCCAUAAGUGUAUAGAGAAGGAGGUGAUGAGGGGGAAGUAAAGUAGGAGGAGUAGGCGCCGUUGGGUAAUCGACCGAUCGAGUUUGACCAGAGUUGAUCGUUGGACGACCUUGGAAAGUAUCGUCUCUCUCGCAGAUACUGUACAAAGAAUUAUCUAAGAAUGUCUCUCCAGACGUCUUGAAAAUACUUGAUAAUAACCAUAAGUAAAAUCUUUCUCGUGUUCGAUUAAUCAUCACGUCAUCAUUGUAAUAAGAUAUUUGAAUCAUCCACAUAAGAUUAUUCAAGGAAUAUAAAUUGUCAUGAUAAUUCUGACAUUAGCAUAUGAAAAUUAUCAUCGACAGGUUAAAAAAGAAAGACAAAAGAAGAAAAAAAAAAAGAAACUUGCAGCUAAUCGUAAAAAAUAGAAACGGAAGGGCUUGUAUUAUUGGUCGACGAGCUUCCGGUGUGAAACCCUCUCUCUACGCAGAGACUAUUCUAAGCAUUUGCCUGGCCUCCUCCGUUACACCUACGCACGUAUUCUAUAAGCGACAGUACUAGGAAAUGGUCGACGUAUACGUGUCCUUGGUAGAAACGAUAAGAAGAAAUCUUUGUUUACAAAUUAGAGUAAACAGUACCGUCAUUGGAAGAAAUUCACCGUUCAUUUACGAAGAAGCGUGGCAUGUAUACAAACGUUAACGCGUAUUAGCUUGCGAGACGCAGAAGAGACACGAGAAGCAAUCGAGUAUAAUCGUUCGUAAACCGUUCCGUUCGCAUUAGGCAAGCUUAAUGACCGUAUAAAAGGGUGCCACGUGGGUGUUCGUUAUCUUCGCUGAGCUGCACCCUUUUCCUCUUCAAAAUUCGUCUCGCUCGUCUUUGUCGCAUACGUCUACUAUACCGGCUGGCCCCGUUUUAGUUUCGUCUUUUUGUGUCUUUCGUUUUAUGUUCCACAUACACUACGAGUGUGCAUAUGUUAUACGUAUGCGUAUAUAUAAUGAUAUACAUACAUGCGUUAUUUUAAGAACAGAAGCUCAUCUAAACGUUUCUUAAGAGUAUUAGAAACUUAACAGUUUAUUUCUAAGUCGACAUGCGUAGAUUAAACAUUUGGAUUAUUAUAAAAAUGAAGCGUUGAUCGGAAGAAUUUAUUUAAAAGAAGAAUGUAACAUUAUUUAAUUGCGUUAUAGCUAUAAUUUCGAACUAUACUUUUAUCUAAGAAAAUUGAAAGCCUUCGAGCGAUUUUUAUAUAUCUAUACAAUGGAUAUGCGUAUAUAUGCGUAUGAAUGUAACAGGUGUAGAGUAUAUAUGUAAGCACGUAAUACAAUAGCUAUAGAUUACACAGGACGGUAGACGUUUACGCAUGAAGCAGAAGCCAGACACGCGAGUAAAACUUGAAGGUGUGUGUCGUGUUUACGAUUUACAUUGAGAUAAAAAGAUAUCGGGUGAACGUUUGUAUCUACGAAAGGGUUAACCCUUUAUCUGUAACAAUAUGGAUUUAUUACAUACACUGUACAAUCAUU
Molecule: long non-coding RNA, 3814 nt
Organism: Vespula pensylvanica (western yellowjacket)
Lineage: Eukaryota; Metazoa; Arthropoda; Insecta; Hymenoptera; Vespidae
Exons: 6
Source: RefSeq, a predicted model, not a curated record